UGGGGAAUAUUGGACAAUGGGCGAAAGCCUGAUCCAGCCAUGCCGCGUGUGUGAAGAAGGUCUUCGGAUUGUAAAGCACUUUAAGUUGGGAGGAAGGGCAGUAAGCGAAUACCUUGCUGUUUUGACGUUACCGACAGAAUAAGCACCGGCUAACUCUGUGCCAGCAGCCGCGGUAAUACAGAGGGUGCAAGCGUUAAUCGGAAUUACUGGGCGUAAAGCGCGCGUAGGUGGUUCGUUAAGUUGAAUGUGAAAGCCCCAGGCUCAACCUGGGAACUGCAUCCAAAGCUGGCGAGCUAGAGGAGGGCAGAGGGUGGUGGAAUUUCCUGUGUAGCGGUGAAAUGCGUAGAUAUAGGAAGGAACACCAGUGGCGAAAGCGACCACCUGGGCUCAUACUGACACUGAGGUGCGAAAGCGUGGGGAGCAAACAGG
Molecule: ribosomal RNA, 429 nt
Filed under: Pseudomonadota bacterium
Lineage: Bacteria; Pseudomonadati; Pseudomonadota
Description: Proteobacteria bacterium partial 16S ribosomal RNA
Rfam family: Bacterial small subunit ribosomal RNA
Source: RNAcentral